GCGAACGCUGGCGGCAGGCCUAACACAUGCAAGUCGAACGAACUCUUCGGAGUUAGUGGCGGACGGGUGAGUAACACGUGGGAACGUGCCUUUAGGUUCGGAAUAACUCAGGGAAACUUGAGCUAAUACCGGAUGUGCCCUUCGGGGGAAAGAUUUAUCGCCUUUAGAGCGGCCCGCGUCUGAUUAGCUAGUUGGUGAGGUAAAGGCUCACCAAGGCGACGAUCAGUAGCUGGUCUGAGAGGAUGAUCAGCCACAUUGGGACUGAGACACGGCCCAAACUCCUACGGGAGGCAGCAGUGGGGAAUCUUGCGCAAUGGGCGAAAGCCUGACGCAGCCAUGCCGCGUGAAUGAUGAAGGUCUUAGGAUUGUAAAAUUCUUUCACCGGGGACGAUAAUGACGGUACCCGGAGAAGAAGCCCCGGCUAACUUCGUG
This 432-nucleotide ribosomal RNA is filed under the name uncultured bacterium. Its description in RNAcentral is "partial 16S ribosomal RNA". It matches the Rfam family "Bacterial small subunit ribosomal RNA", at positions 29 to 507 of the family's 1533-position model. The record is from RNAcentral.